CAGAGGGCAGCUACCCAGCGAUGGGGUGCGAAUCUCGAAAGCCUAUCUCAGUUCGGAUUGGAGGCUGAAACCCGCCUCCAUGAAGUUGGAUUCGCUAGUAAUCGCGCAUCAGCCAUGGCGCGGUGAAUACGUUCCCGGGCCUUGUACACACCGCCCGUCAAGCCAUGGGAGCUGGGGGUGCCUGAAGUUCGUGACCGCAAGGAUCGACCUAGGGCAAAACCGGUGACUGGGGCUAAGUCGUAACAAGGUAGC
Molecule: ribosomal RNA, 252 nt
Filed under: uncultured bacterium
Lineage: Bacteria
Description: partial 16S ribosomal RNA
Rfam family: Bacterial small subunit ribosomal RNA
Source: RNAcentral